ACACUGGUGGUUCAUUGGUAGAAUUCUUGCCUUCCAUGUGGGAGAACUGGGUUUGACUCCCAGCCAGUGGA
This 71-nucleotide transfer RNA is filed under the name Loxodonta africana (African savanna elephant). It matches the Rfam family "tRNA". From Rfam's summary of the family: Transfer RNA (tRNA) molecules are approximately 80 nucleotides in length. Their secondary structure includes four short double-helical elements and three loops (D, anti-codon, and T loops). Further hydrogen bonds mediate the characteristic L-shaped molecular structure. tRNAs have two regions of fundamental functional importance: the anti-codon, which is responsible for specific mRNA codon recognition, and the 3' end, to which the tRNAs corresponding amino acid is attached (by aminoacyl-tRNA synthetases). tRNAs cope with the degeneracy of the genetic code in two manners: having more than one tRNA (with a specific anti-codon) for a particular amino acid; and 'wobble' base-pairing, i.e. permitting non-standard base-pairing at the 3rd anti-codon position. The record is from Rfam by way of RNAcentral. Lineage: Eukaryota; Metazoa; Chordata; Mammalia; Proboscidea; Elephantidae.